CUCCAGACUCCUACGGGAGGCAGCAGUGGGGGAUAUUGGACAAUGGGGGGAACCCUGAUCCAGCGACGCCGCGUGAGUGAAGAAGUCUCUCGGUAUGUAAAGCUCUAUCAGCAGGGAAGAAAGAAAUGACGGUACCUGAGUAAGAAGCCCCGGCUAACUACGUGCCAGCAGCCGCGGUAAUACGUAGGGGGCAAGCGUUAUCCGGAAUUACUGGGUGUAAAGGGAGCGUAGACGGUGAAGUAAGUCUGGAGUGAAAGGCGGGGGCCCAACCCCCGGACUGCUCUGGAAACUAUUUGACUGGAGUGCAGGAGGGGUAAGCGGAAUUCCUAGUGUAGCGGUGAAAUGCGUAGAUAUUAGGAGGAACACCAGUGGCGAAGGCGGCUUACUGGACUGUAACUGACGUUGAGGCUCGAAAGCGUGGGGAGCAAACAGGAUUAGAUACCCGAGUA
RNAcentral lists this ribosomal RNA (449 nucleotides) under uncultured bacterium. RNAcentral's name for it is "bacterial SSU rRNA". It matches the Rfam family "Bacterial small subunit ribosomal RNA", at positions 329 to 792 of the family's 1533-position model. The record is from RNAcentral.